This 637-nucleotide long non-coding RNA is filed under the name Lynx pardinus (Iberian lynx). Lineage: Eukaryota; Metazoa; Chordata; Mammalia; Carnivora; Felidae. The record is from RNAcentral.
UUUCGGGUUUGGGACCUGGUAGGGCUUGGUAUCUGUGUUUGCCCCUCCUCCUUGGAUGGCUGGGUUGGCCACUUGCCUGAGGGGUGCACUAACCCUCUCCGGAGGCCUGGCUCUGGGGACAGGAGUGGGCUGCAGGGAGAAGGAGCAGGAAGGAAGGAGGCAGAGGCAGUGCGGGGAGGGAGGGCGACUGUUGCCAUGGAAGGAGCUGCAAGGUAUUCUGGGAUCAAAAUUCUCACUGCAGAGGACUGGGUGGGGGGGCGGGUGGUUGGGGAAGGUGAUGGGGAAGCCAGUGCCUCUUUUGUCCUUGGCGCUUUCUGCAUCCCUGCAGACGGCGAAUGGUCCCCCCACACCCCCGAAGCUGGGCCUUCCGCAGCCCGGGCCCCCAGCAGUCCCCUCCCUGUCCUGCCGGUCCGCCUCGUGCACAGAAGGCAGUGAGUGGCCCCUUUCCAGGAGGCCUGUUUACCAGCACGACAACAGCAAAUUAGUGCUCUUAAAAGGCAUUCAGCAUUUAUCCCAGCAAACAAGCUCACCGCAAAGGGGGCCUGCAAUGCCUUCUCCCCGGAAUCUGCUGAACUGGGGUUUGUUGUGCAUCUUAAUCGACUUCCUUCCACCCACCACAUUAAAUGCAUUUAAUCUA